CUUCCCAGCCCCGCACAUAGAACCGCCGCCUCUCGCGUUUCUCUCUCUUUCUCUCCUCAGACUUACCCUCGGGUUCCGGCCGGUGCCGGGCGCGCCCCUCCACCGCCGCCUCCUCCAUGGAGCUACUCUACCUCCCCGCCUUAAGGGCCCGGCCCCGCCGCCGCCAUCAUCAUCUCCGCCGCCACUGGUGCCUGAGGAGAGGGAGAAGGGGAGGCUUGCGCGCCGCAGCCGCUGCCGCGAUCCCAAAGCUCGGCUCAGUUCGGCGCUCCCUCAGCGCGGCCGCCGCCGCCAGAAAAGGAAGGAGGGAGGGGGAGAGCUUGAGGGGCUCUGAGGAGCGUGGAGCACAGAAGCCCGGAUCUGAGGGUGGAAAGAAAACGCGGAGGCAGGAUUAAAGAGCGAGAGGGAAAACCCGGGAGGAGGAUUUCUUGUCCACGCGCUCCUCCUGGGAACAGAAGGAAACCCUGGAGCAUGGAGCCUCACUCAAGGGCGCGGAUUGGGGGCGGCGGAGGGGGAAGGAGACAGGGUGAGUUGUAAAACGACGACGGGAAGAAGAAACUCCCCACACGAGGAGGAGGAGGAAAGAGAGAGGAAACGCCCCCUCCCCGCUCCAAAGGCGUAAAGCGAGUCCGCAGGAGGCGGCCUGGACUCCGCGACCCCUUCAAUUCGGAGGAAUCCAGUCGCGCCGCCCUGUUCAAGGCAGGUGUGCUCCGAAGUGAGCCCCACGGAGUACAAGGAGGAGGGCUACUCUCAACACAGAUGCAGACUGGGAUAAGGUCUCAACUUAAAAGCCGUGUUGAAAGAGGGUCUUCAAUAGACACUGAAAAGGUAACAGUGCCUGUCUAAUAUUUAAGGGGAGGGAAUUCCACAGGGUAGGUGCCGCCACGCUAAGGGUCCAUUUCCUAUGUUGUGCAGAAUGGACCUCCUGAUAAGAUGGUAUCUGCAGGAGGCCCUCACCUGCAGAGCGCAGAGAUCGACUGGGUGUAUAAGAGUAGGAGCCCAGGGCAGCAGAUAGCAAGAGUUCCUGCUGAAUCUCUGUUGGAAGUGUUUCACAGCAUGGGAUCACCAAUAUUAAAUGCCUGGGUUCUAGUGGACACCAACCAGGGCUCUGUAACAUGGAGAAUAACUAACAGUGCUCUUCUAGAUGACCUCAGUGAUUGAGCUGGGACAUAAGGUCUCAGGUGGUCCCUAAGGUACCCUGGACCCAAGACGUUCAGGGCUUUGUAUAUUAAUGUUUCAGACUGCAAAUCCAAUUCAAAGACCCAGGCUAUGGUCUGAAAGCACAUGAGGCCAGCACCCUACUGAAGCUAACCAGGGUCAGGUCUGGUCAGUGCCUGGAUGGGAGACCACCUGGGAACCAAAUGUAAGCCGCCUUGGGUUUCUAUCAUGAAA
Long non-coding RNA from Rhineura floridana, 1389 nucleotides. RefSeq lists it as uncharacterized. NCBI's taxonomy places the organism in Eukaryota, Metazoa, Chordata, Lepidosauria, Squamata, Rhineuridae. The transcript has 3 exons. The record is from RefSeq and is a predicted model, not a curated record.